GCGCGUAGGCGGCCCUCCUAGUCGCGUGUGAAAGCCCCGGGCUCAACCUGGGAACGGCGCGCGAAACGGGGGGGCUGGAGUUCGGGAGAGGAGCGUGGAAUUCCCAGUGUAGAGGUGAAAUUCGUAGAUAUUGGGAAGAACACCGGUGGCGAAGGCGGCGCUCUGGACCGAGACUGACGCUGAGGCGCGAAAGCGUGGGGAGCAAACAGGAUUAGAUACCCUGGUAGUCCACGCCGUAAACGAUGUGUGCUAGACGUUGGGGAGCCUAGCUCUUCGGUGUCGCCGCAAACGCUUUAAGCACACCGCCUGGGGAGUACGGCCGCAAGGUGAAAACUCAAAGGAAUUGACGGGGGCCCGCACAAGCGGUGGAGCAUGUGGUUUAAUUCUACGCAACGCGAAGAACCUUACCAGCUCUUGACAUGCCCGGUAUGGGCGGGAGAAAUCCCGUUCUUCGGUUCGGCCGGCCGGGACACAGGUGCUGCAUGGCUGUCGUCAGCUCGUGUCAUGAGAUGUUGGGUUAAGUCCCGCAACGAGCGCAACCCCCAUCUGCAGUU
RNAcentral lists this ribosomal RNA (554 nucleotides) under uncultured bacterium. RNAcentral describes it as "bacterial SSU rRNA". It matches the Rfam family "Bacterial small subunit ribosomal RNA", at positions 567 to 1116 of the family's 1533-position model. The record is from RNAcentral.